This 1707-nucleotide long non-coding RNA is filed under the name Pelobates cultripes (western spadefoot toad). Lineage: Eukaryota; Metazoa; Chordata; Amphibia; Anura; Pelobatidae. The record is from RNAcentral.
ACAAAAGGGGCGGGGCCUGACAGCCAAGAUGGCCGGCCGCACAUGCUGAGAGCUCCUGCAGCUACAGACAAAAGAGUAACGAUAACGAGCGUUCUGAAAGCGCUAGCGGCAGACGGUGACCGGCACCAAACACAGGAAGACACGAGCUACAAAAAUAUACCGGCCCAACACCGGAGCGCCGUGGAAAAAACGACAUCGGCCAUGCGGCCUACACCAGAGCGGGAACUGAGGUCUAGGGGAGGCGGACGAUUCCCCGGCCCAGGACGCGCUCACAAGCGAGAGCACACCACAGCCCCGCUGCCCCCCCCUCUGGACCGGUGGGGGACAUCCCGGUCCUCGCUGGGGACGAAUACCCCCAAAUCGCUGACAGCCCAAGCGACAAACCUCUCAUGCAACCAAGACCGCCAGGGCCUAGCCAAGAUGGCGGCACAGAAGCGGACAAAAACAAGGCGUACACUCACUAUACCACCAAAGCACAUUCCGGAAUUUUAUGAACGGCUACGUACUUACCUCUGGAAGAAGCUUCAUGCCCGGGGACAGCUCUUCAGGCGAGCCGUGAGAGAGAUAGAGGCGUGGAUCCGCCCGGCUACCCGGCGCUAUCUGCAGGGGAAUCUCCCUCACGCCUAUGGAGCAGCCUCCCGACGGCAACGGAACCGCAGAACAGCAGGACGGGAAGCGGCGCCAAGCUCCCCAGACAACAUCAAUCAUGCUCCCAGGCUUCAGAGCCGGACCCGCCGGCGCACACGACCUGCCUACCACUCAGCAGUCCCAGUAACAGCUCCACAGCAAAGCGCAAACCCGCGCAGGGGAACACACAAGGCUCAUCGAGUCACCACUCUUGCUACAGCAGGGUUGCCAGCCGGCGGACUAAACCGGCAGACAGCCCAUCUACAGCCUCCCGGGAGGAGAACCUCCGGACCUUGGUUUUGCAGUGGGACUAGUGUGGUGCGAGUGGGAGUAGGGUGAUCCACACAAGCGGGACUCUGUCUAAUGCCACCCUCACCCCUCGCCAUACCUGCCAACAUAGCAUGACAAGAGUCCUGAAUACCUGCCAUUGACAAAGUAUCUGAAUAAUCUAUUACACAUGUAAUUUGACAUGUUUAUUAGGCUGGUUUUACUUUUAAAUUUCUCUCACAUGAAUAGCAUGCCACCUUUAUCGAUAAUGCUGGUGCCAAAGUAUGCUUAGUAACUGAAGCUAGAGAAUGCCAACGCAGCCCACCACAAAAGAUAAGCUGAGGCAGCCUGCAUUAACUAGAGAUUCAUGCUCCCUACUAACUACCUGCUUCACCUUACCCAGUGCUCAGAUAUGCGCAGCGAACAGGUCACAUAGCCAAACGUGAUUACCUAGCAUGUUUCAAUAACUGGCCAAAUGAUGUCACUAGCAUUUUACAACUACAUCACCUGAAUUACAACUGUUGCUACUAGUCCAGUAAAUGCACUGACCGCUCCUGUUUGCAUGAAAUUUGAUGAGGAAUGAUAAAAUCCUAUUAAGCAUGGUUAAAUCUAAUUAAGCAGUUAGAAACCUGUACUAGAUGUUGACAUGCAUAGCCUGUAGUAUGACAACCACAUAACAACCAAAGUGACUUAAUCUUGUUUAUAUAAAAAAUGUGCAAUGUUUCUUAUGUCACAUUACUGUUACCGCAUGUUUCUUUUAUGUUUGCACCAGCUGUCGUGGCAGUGCAAAACUGCUUGUUAUUUCUAUGCACG